RNAcentral lists this ribosomal RNA (400 nucleotides) under uncultured bacterium. RNAcentral's name for it is "bacterial SSU rRNA". It matches the Rfam family "Bacterial small subunit ribosomal RNA", at positions 355 to 747 of the family's 1533-position model. The record is from RNAcentral.
UGGGGAAUAUUGCACAAUGGGCGCAAGCCUGAUGCAGCGACGCCGCGUGGAGGAUGAAGGUUUUCGGAUUGUAAACUCCUGUUAAGUGGGAAGAAAGGCAUGUACCUAAUACGUACGUGAGAUGACGGUACCACUAGAGAAAGCACCGGCAAACUUCGUGCCAGCAGCCGCGGUAAUACGAAGGGUGCAAGCGUUAUUCGGAAUGACUGGGCGUAAAGAGCGUGAAGGCGGUCUUUUAAGUCAACUGUUAAAGCACUCAGCUUAACUGGGUACAUGCGGAUGAAACUGAAAGACUAGAGUGCAGAAGAGAAAGGUAGAAUUCUCGGAGUAGCGGUAAAAUGCGUAGAUCUCGAGAGGAAUACCGGUUGCGAAGGCGGCCUUUUGGUCUGUAACUGACGCU